Molecule: Y RNA, 95 nt
Filed under: Microcebus murinus (gray mouse lemur)
Lineage: Eukaryota; Metazoa; Chordata; Mammalia; Primates; Cheirogaleidae
Description: Y RNA (ENSMICG00000044481.1)
Rfam family: Y RNA
About the family: Y RNAs are components of the Ro ribonucleoprotein particle (Ro RNP), in association with Ro60 and La proteins.
Source: Rfam by way of RNAcentral
GGCUGGACCAAUGGCAGUGGGUUACCAGAACUUACUAACAUUAGUGUCAUUGAAGUUGGUAUACAACCCCCACUGCUAAAUUCGACGGGCUAAAU